UACGUAGGGUGCAAGCGUUGUCCGGAAUUAUUGGGCGUAAAGAGCUCGUAGGCGGUCUGUCGCGUCUGCCGUGAAAGUCCGGGGCUCAACUCCGGAUCUGCGGUGGGUACGGGCAGACUAGAGUGAUGUAGGGGAGACUGGAAUUCCUGGUGUAGCGGUGAAAUGCGUAGAGAUCCGGAAGAACACCGGUGGCGAAGGCGGCCUGCUGGGCAGUAGCUGACACUGAGGCGCGACAGCGUGGGGAGCAAACAGG
RNAcentral lists this ribosomal RNA (253 nucleotides) under uncultured bacterium. RNAcentral describes it as "partial 16S ribosomal RNA". It matches the Rfam family "Bacterial small subunit ribosomal RNA", at positions 524 to 776 of the family's 1533-position model. The record is from RNAcentral.